RNAcentral lists this transfer RNA (79 nucleotides) under Loxodonta africana (African savanna elephant). It matches the Rfam family "tRNA". From Rfam's summary of the family: Transfer RNA (tRNA) molecules are approximately 80 nucleotides in length. Their secondary structure includes four short double-helical elements and three loops (D, anti-codon, and T loops). The record is from Rfam by way of RNAcentral. Lineage: Eukaryota; Metazoa; Chordata; Mammalia; Proboscidea; Elephantidae.
GCAGUGAUGGUUCAGUGGUAGAAUUCUUAUCUUCUCACCUUCCAUGCAGGAGACCCGGGUUCAAUUCCCAGCCAGUGCA